GGGGUCAAGCUCUUUGGGGUCCGAUUGACCGACGGGUCGAUCAGGAAAAGUGCUAGCAUGGGCAAUUUAAGCCAUUACACAGGGUCUCCCAAUCCCGCUGGGGCCCACGCAUCCGGGUCCAACAACCCCGGAUCCCCUGGAGGAGAUACACCCGACCACGGCGGAGCUGCUGACGGCUACGCUUCUGAGGAUUUCGUUCCUGGUUCUUCUU
Molecule: unclassified non-coding RNA, 211 nt
Filed under: Hevea brasiliensis (rubber tree)
Lineage: Eukaryota; Viridiplantae; Streptophyta; Magnoliopsida; Malpighiales; Euphorbiaceae
Source: RNAcentral